CCUACGUGCGCUUUACGCCCAGUAAUUCCGAAUAACGCUAGCUCCCUCCGUAUUACCGCGGCUGCUGGCACGGAGUUAGCCGGAGCUUAUUCUCCCGGUACUGUCAUUAUCAUCCCGGGUAAAAGAGCUUUACAACCCUAAGGCCUUCAUCACUCACGCGGCAUUGCUGGAUCAGGCUUUCGCCCGUUGUCCAAUAUUCCCCACUGCUGCCUCCCGUAGGAGUCUGGGCCGUGUCUCAGUCCCAGUGUGGCUGAUCAUCCUCUCAGACCAGCUAAGGAUCGUCGCCUUGGUGCGCCUUUACCACACCAACUAGCUAAUCCUACGCGGGCUCAU
This 333-nucleotide ribosomal RNA is filed under the name Sphingomonas melonis. RNAcentral's name for it is "partial 16S ribosomal RNA". Lineage: Bacteria; Pseudomonadati; Pseudomonadota; Alphaproteobacteria; Sphingomonadales; Sphingomonadaceae. The record is from RNAcentral.